GUCUGAAUGGUUUAAUGGUAAAAUCGAAGCUUCCCAUAUUCAAUUGGUCAUGACUAUGAUAAGUACAUGAAGCAUGCUUUGGCUCCGGGUUCGAUUCCCGGUUCAGACA
This is a non-coding RNA of Calycina marina, 109 nucleotides long. The record is from the annotation of a GenBank genome assembly. NCBI's taxonomy places the organism in Eukaryota, Fungi, Ascomycota, Leotiomycetes, Helotiales, Pezizellaceae.